Molecule: non-coding RNA, 75 nt
Organism: Myotis lucifugus (little brown bat)
Lineage: Eukaryota; Metazoa; Chordata; Mammalia; Chiroptera; Vespertilionidae
Source: Rfam
CUUGGAGGGUGGGGAGUCUCUCAGCCAGGAUUGUGAGAGGGUGCAGGCCAGGCUGAGGGAGCUCACUGGUGCACG